GAGUUUGAUCUUGGCUCAGAUUGAACGCUGGCGGCAGGCCCUAAACACAUGCCAAGUCGAGCGGAUGACGGGAGCUUGCUCCUUGAUUCAGCGGCGGACGGGUGAGUAAUGCCUAGGAAUCUGCCUGGUAGUGGGGGACAACGUUUCGAAAGGAACGCUAAUACCGCAUACGUCCUACGGGAGAAAGCAGGGGACCUUCGGGCCUUGCGCUAUCAGAUGAGCCUAGGUCGGAUUAGCUAGUUGGUGGGGUAAU
This 253-nucleotide ribosomal RNA is filed under the name bacterium enrichment culture clone ALO1_GLFRUDD03GC5LC. RNAcentral describes it as "partial 16S ribosomal RNA". It matches the Rfam family "Bacterial small subunit ribosomal RNA", at positions 9 to 261 of the family's 1533-position model. The record is from RNAcentral.